CUCCUACGGGAGGCAGCAGUAGGGAAUCUUCCGCAAUGGGCGAAAGCCUGACGGAGCAACGCCGCGUGAGUGAUGAAGGUNUUCGGAUCGUAAAACUCUGUUAUUAGGGAAGAACAAAUGUGUAAGUAACUGUGCACAUCUUGACGGUACCUACUCAGAAAGCCACGGCUAACUACGUGCCAGCAGCCGCGGUAAUAC
Molecule: ribosomal RNA, 198 nt
Filed under: uncultured Staphylococcus sp.
Lineage: Bacteria; Bacillati; Bacillota; Bacilli; Caryophanales; Staphylococcaceae
Description: partial 16S ribosomal RNA
Rfam family: Bacterial small subunit ribosomal RNA
Source: RNAcentral